GCUCCAAAAUUAUUGAAUCCAAAGAGUAGAAUAAACUCACAUAUAUCUUCGGGUGGAAAAUUUCAUAUUUGGAAUCAGGAUCAUGAAGACUUCAACCUCGGUUUCGACUCUCUGUUUCUUUAUUAUCUUGUGUUCUUCUAUCCAGGUAUCCGAUGCCUAUGUGAUGUCAGGUAAUACUGGGAAUGUAGGUAAAAGAUUCGUGGAGCACAAUAGAAAUAUUCAAGACAUCCGCAGCCUGGCUGAAAAGCGCUGUGGUUCUCAACAGCAGGCACGUGACAUGCAAGCUGAAAGUAAAAAACUACAGGAAAGAGACUUCGAAUUUUCUCAUUAAUGAUACAAUAUUGAACAUUCCGAAAGGCAUAGGAGAAGAUUAACAGUGUUUCUGUUUUAAAAAACUGUAACAUUAUUCUUGAAACGAAGUUCGAUUCAGUUGAUUUCAAAAAGGAACGUAACUUGCCUUAUUUAAUGGCUUUUUCUUUAGGUAUAUGGAAAUUUAUCAAGCGUGUGAUUUGACAAUAAAUUUGUGAAUGGAA
Stylophora pistillata is the source of this 533-nucleotide long non-coding RNA. RefSeq lists it as uncharacterized. The record is from RefSeq and is a predicted model, not a curated record. NCBI's taxonomy places the organism in Eukaryota, Metazoa, Cnidaria, Anthozoa, Scleractinia, Pocilloporidae.